This 73-nucleotide transfer RNA is filed under the name Schistosoma mansoni. Lineage: Eukaryota; Metazoa; Platyhelminthes; Trematoda; Strigeidida; Schistosomatidae. The record is from RNAcentral.
UGAACAUAACACAAGUGGAUAACGUGAUGGCUCUUGAAGCGAAAGGUACUGGGUUCGAGUCCCAGAGUGAACA